CCAUGAGGGCUCGUAACAGUCGAGCGGAUGACGGGAGCUUGCUCCUUGAUUAGCGGCGGACGGGUGAGUAAUGCCUAGGAAUCUGCCUGGUAGUGGGGGACAACGUUUCGAAAGGAACGCUAAUACCGCAUACGUCCUACGGGAGAAAGCAGGGGACCUUCGGGCCUUGCGCUAUCAGAUGAGCCUAGGUCGGAUUAGCUAGUUGGUGGGGUAAUGGCUCACCAAGGCGACGAUCCGUAACUGGUCUGAGAGGAUGAUCAGUCACACUGGAACUGAGACACGGUCCAGACUCCUACGGGAGGCAGCAGUGGGGAAUAUUGGACAAUGGGCGAAAGCCUGAUCCAGCCAUGCCGCGUGUGUGAAGAAGGUCUUCGGAUUGUAAAGCACUUUAAGUUGGGAGGAAGGGCAGUAAGUUAAUACCUUGCUGUUUUGACGUUACCGACAGAAUAAGCACCGGCUAACUCUGUGCCAGCAGCCGCGGUAAUACAGAGGGUGCAAGCGUUAAUCGGAAUUACUGGGCGUAAAGCGCGCGUAGGUGGUUCGUUAAGUUGGAUGUGAAAGCCCCGGGCUCAACCUGGGAACUGCAUCCAAAACUGGCGAGCUAGAGUACGGUAGAGGGUGGUGGAAUUUCCUGUGUAGCGGUGAAAUGCGUAGAUAUAGGAAGGAACACCAGUGGCGAAGGCGACCACCUGGACUGAUACUGACACUGAGGUGCGAAAGCGUGGGGAGCAAACAGGAUUAGAUACCC
This 748-nucleotide ribosomal RNA is filed under the name Pseudomonas monteilii. RNAcentral describes it as "bacterial SSU rRNA". It matches the Rfam family "Bacterial small subunit ribosomal RNA", at positions 46 to 787 of the family's 1533-position model. Lineage: Bacteria; Pseudomonadati; Pseudomonadota; Gammaproteobacteria; Pseudomonadales; Pseudomonadaceae. The record is from RNAcentral.